AGUGAACGCUGGCGGUAGGCCUAACACAUGCAAGUCGAACGGACGCACAGUAAGAGCUUGCUCCUAAGGGUAGCGAGUGACGGACGGGUGAGGCGUACAUCGGCUUCUAAUUUUUCGUGGGGGAUAACGUAGGGACACUUACGCUAAUACCGCAUACGACCUACGGGUGAAAGCAGGAGUUCUUCGCACCUUUCGUGAUUGAAUGAGACGAUGUCGGAUUAGCUAGUUGGCGUGGUAAAGGCACACCAAGGCGACGAUGCGUAGCUGGUCUGAGAGGAUGAUCAGCCACACUGGAACUGAGACACGGUCCAGACUCCUACGGGAGGCAGCAGUGGGGAAUAUUGGGCAAUGGGCGCAAGCCUGAUCCAGCCAUACCGCGUGAGUGAUGAAGGCCUUCGGAUUGUAAAGCCCUGUUAUUAGGGAAGAAAAACAGUAUAUGAAAAUCCCGCUGUUCUGACGGUACCCAAUGAGAAAGCAACGGCUAACUACGUG
This 492-nucleotide ribosomal RNA is filed under the name uncultured bacterium. RNAcentral describes it as "partial 16S ribosomal RNA". It matches the Rfam family "Bacterial small subunit ribosomal RNA", at positions 29 to 507 of the family's 1533-position model. The record is from RNAcentral.